CAGUUUCAAGGGCAACGGCAGCUUUGCUUCGAAAUCUUGAUCAUCGCAUCUCAAGCUAUUCAUCUGUGAUACAAAAGUCCGAGAUAGAGGAUGCAGAGGAAUGCUUGAAACUGUUUUCUAUGGACUAGGUGGCUAAAUUUAAUGAAAUGACCCUUGCCAAUGUAAACAGCUUCAAAAAGCGCUAAAAAAGCCAGUCACCUAAAGAAAUCCAAAAAGAAUAUAUAGCGGUGGAGAGAUUCCUCCUGAGAUCGGAAAGAUGGGCAGCUUGGAAGGUUAGUUCUACUUCUUU
Rosa chinensis is the source of this 289-nucleotide long non-coding RNA. RefSeq lists it as uncharacterized. The transcript is spliced from 3 exons. NCBI's taxonomy places the organism in Eukaryota, Viridiplantae, Streptophyta, Magnoliopsida, Rosales, Rosaceae. The record is from RefSeq and is a predicted model, not a curated record.